GCUUAAUGUUUCCAUUCCCUUCACUUCAGCGCAUCUGGCUUGGGUUUAGAUUGAUCUUGAGUGCAUCAGGCAUCAUAUUCCCCAUUAUAAAGGGAGAAGGAGUUAGACAGAUGUUCUUUCCAGCAACGGUGCCAGCAUAUUAUAGAUCACCACCUGUUCAUUGAAGAAAUGACACAA
This is a long non-coding RNA of Rosa chinensis, 177 nucleotides long. RefSeq lists it as uncharacterized. Lineage: Eukaryota; Viridiplantae; Streptophyta; Magnoliopsida; Rosales; Rosaceae. The transcript is spliced from 2 exons. The record is from RefSeq and is a predicted model, not a curated record.